AAACAGUACAGUAACAAACAUGCCAUUUUGAUGUAUGUAUAUAUAUACUCGUUUUGCUAUUGUUUUUGACUUCGACUUUUAAUUGGUCACAAAAUUUUUGGAUAAUUUUUUUUAAAAUAAUUAUUUUAGUCCUUGCAGAGCAAGACAGCGGGAUGAAUGGUUUUCCACAAAAUCCAAAAGGAAUUAGGCAUCUUCAAAUUCGUCAGCGCAAACGUCACUGUUUUUCAGUGCCUCUCAUCACUUAUAAAAACACUUCGAUUUCCUUUCUUAGUUACUCCAAAUCCGACGUUCGUAAAAAAAGACCAGGUGAACUACCUACGAGCCGCCGUCACCACCAUGUCACAGCCUCAUUUCCUCCUAGUGACCUUCCCUGCACAAGGCCACAUAAACCCAACCUUACAAUUUGCCAAGCAUCUUAUACGUAUUGGCGUACGUGUAACUUUCGUCACCUGCAUCUCGGCUUGCCGCCGCAUGACCAAAGUCCCCACUGCUCAGGGCCUAACGUUUUUACCCUUUUCCGAUGGCUACGACGACGGUUUUCAACCCGGCGAUGACAUAGAACAUUACCUAUCUGAAUUGAGGCGACGAGGCAAAGAAGCCAUCUCCGAGUUUAUAACAAGCAGUGAAAACGACGGCAAAUCCGUCACUUGCAUUGUCAACACCCUGUUCAUCCAUUGGGCCUCGGAGGUGGCGCGUAAACAUCACAUCCCGACAGCUUUACUUUGGAUUCAACCCGCCACCGUUUUCGACAUCUAUUAUUUUUACUUCAACGGAUACGAAUCCACCAUUAAAGCUCCUGUUGAUGAAACAAACCCCAAGCGUUCAAUAAAAUUACCAGGCCUGCCGCUACUCGCCACUCGCGACCUUCCGUCGUUCGUCACCGCUUCAAACGUUUACCGUUGGGCACUGUCGUUGUUCCAAGAACAAAUGGAUGUCCUCGCUGAUGAAUCCAACCCCAAAAUCCUUGUUAACACAUUCGAUGCUUUGGAACACGAAGCAUUAAACGCCAUUGAAAAUUUCAACAUGGUAGGCAUCGGACCUUUAAUCCCAUCUUCUUUCUUGAACUCAAAUGACUCCUUGGAUAAUUCCUUGAGAACCGAUCUUUUUCAAUCCGAUUCAAAAGAUUACAUCCAAUGGUUAGACUCCAAACCAAAAUCGGCCGUCGUUUACGUUUCCUUCGGGAGCUAUGCUGUGUUAACGAAGCAACAAGUGGAGGAAAUCGCUCGAGCUUUAAUAUCCAGCCGGCGACCCUUUUUAUGGGUGGUGAGGAACCGGAAAAAUGGAGGCGAAGAAGAGAAAGAAGAAGAUAAACUGACUUGCAGGGAAGAAUUGGAACAGUUUGGGAUGGUGGUUCCAUGGUGUUCGCAAGUGGAAGUAUUGUUUCAUCCAUCGUUGGGUUGCUUCGUGACGCAUUGUGGGUGGAACUCGACGUUGGAGAGCAUGGCGGCCGGUGUACCGGUGGUGGCUUUCCCUCAAUGGACGGAUCAAAGGACUAAUGCGAAGCUGAUUGAAGAUGUGUGGGGGAAUGGGGUGAGAGUGAGUGCUAAUGAAGAAGGGAUGGUGGAACGUGAUGAGAUCGUUAGGUGCUUGGAUUUGGUGAUGGGGGAUGAUAAGAAAGGGAUGGAAGUGAAGAAAAAUGUAGAGAAAUGGAAACGGUUAGCCAGAGAAGCCGCCAUGGAAGGCGGCUCCUUGGAUAUGAAGCUUAAAGCUUUUGUGGAUGAUAUUGCUGAAGGAUAUCGUAAGUAAAAUUAUCACUUUCAAAUCAAUUCACUGUUUCAAUAGUAGUUAUUUAAACAGUUAUUAUCGUACCAUGAAACUUGAUUAGGUUUUGCCUUGUAGUAAACAUGCGAAGGACGACCCACCACACAAGUUUAUGCAGAUAUGGUUUUUUUUUUUUUUUUGUUUAAUUUUGCUACUAGUCUCUAUACUUUAUGAAAGUUAUGGAUUUAGUCUCAAUACUUUAAUUUGACCAUUUUUAGUCCUGCACUUUUCAAAAUGUUCAAUUUUAGUCCCUAUACUUUUAGUCUUUUGAAAUUUUAGUCCUGAACCAAAUAAUAGUAGUUAAAUUAUUUUGUUUAAAUUCAAUUACUAGUCAUGUCCUAUGUGUACAAUUAUAGAUUUAAUAAAUAUAUUUCCUAAUUGAAUCAUUUUAAGUCCCUAUUUUUUUCGAAUUCUAAAAUUUCCGUCUCGACACAAAUGAUAGUCACUAAUCCAUUAACUAAAAUUUCAGUAAGUAAUAUGUGAAAAUAUCAAACAGAAAUGCCAUUACACAUAUGAUAAUAUGUUUGUUGCAUCAAAUUUUGAAAAUAACAGAAUUUAAUGAAUUUAACAAUUAUCGUUUAGUGAAGGCUGAAAUUUUAAAAUUUAAAAAGUAAGAGAAUUAAAAAUGACCAAAUUAAAGUAUCAGUAUUAAAUCUGCAACUUUUGUUAAGUAAGACUAAUAAUAAAAUUUAACCUUAUUUUUUUCUUGAAAGAAAUUGAAAGUGACCAUUUAAGUAUAUAAUAUGUGAUUGGGAUUGGAGAAUAUGAAUGGUGUGAUAGAUUUUGAAUGUAGGAAACAAAAUUUUUUGAAAUGUGGUUGUAGGAUGGAGUGGGUUGGAUUUAUUUGUGUGUGGUCAAUGUAUAACUCUUUGCCUUUAUACUAUAUAAAAGUAUCAUUUUAUCCGUUUAAUAUGUAUAACUAUUUAAAUAUGUAGAAAUGUGAAAAUGUAUUAUAGAAAAGCCUUUAUGUUUAAUUUUUUUUAAAAUUUUAUGUUCUAAAGUCACUAAAUUAUUAGUAAAUUUAUGUUUUGAUUACUCAACUUCAAAAAGUUACAAAAUGGUCAUGAGUUAUUAGAAAAUUUUCAUUUCAGUUGUUCAACUAUUCAAAACUUUUUUUGUUUAAGUCAUUACGCUGUUAAGUUCUUUCUAAGUUCAAUUAAUGAGCUCCAACCGAUGAUUUAACAAUCGUAUGGUGGAUUAGUACUCAUCGACGAGUAGAGGAAAUCCCUUGAGAUUUUUUAUCCAGUCGGCAACCAUUUUCAUGGGUGGUGAGGAACUGGAAAGAUGGAGGCUACGAAGAGAAAGAAAAAGAUAAACUGGCUUGCAGGGAAGAAUUGGAACAGUUUGGGAUGGUGGUUCCAUGGUGUUCGCAAGUGGAAGUAUUGUCUCAUCGUCGUUGGGUUGCUUCGUGACGCAUUGUGGGUGAAACUCGACGUUGGAGAGCAUAGUGGCCAGUGUAUCAAGGGACUAAUGCGAAGCUGAUUGAAGAUGUGGGGGGAAUGGGGUGAGAGUGAGUGCUAAUGAAGAAGGGAUCAUGGAACGUGAUGAGAUUGUUAGGUGCUUGGGUUUGGUGAUAGGGGAUGGGGAGAAAGGGAUGCAAGUGAAGAAGAAUGUUGAGAAAUGGAAAGGGUUAGCGGGGGAGGCCGCCAUGGAAGGCGGUUCCUUGGAUAUCAACCUUAAAGUUUUUGUGGAUGAUGUUGCUCAAGGUUGUUGCAAGUAAAUUUAUCUUUUCAUAUAAUUAUCUACAUUUAUAUCUCGAAUUCUUAAAUCAAGAAAUAAUAUGUUUGAAAACGAUCAAAUUCCUUUUGUUGUAAUAAUAAUAAUAUCAAAUGACCUAAAAUUCGAUGAAAUGUUACAAAUUAAUUUUUAAUUUAUGUUUGUAUUAAAUUUACGCUUAAAUUAAUUUUGGGUUAUGGUGUAAGUUUUUUUUAAAAAUAAUUUUAAUGGUCAAAUUUAAUUAAUAACACCAUCAAUUGGAUUUUAAAUUUUAAGUCAAACAAGAGACAAAAGUUUAAAAAUUAAAAGUAGCGGAUUAAAUGUUAAAAAAAAUUGCAAAAGAGUACAAGAAUUGGGGGUAUACUUAGAAAAAAUAUUAAAAUUUUCUUUUCUCCUCCAAUAGUAGAAUCUAAAGUUACGCACCUUUAUAAAAUUAAAAAAGAGUUAAUUGUCCAAGAUAAAUAUUAAAUAAUAAUAUUUAUAGACUCGAGUACAUGAAAUUUAUUGUUGGUCAUUGAAUUUAUCAUUUAACAAUUACUUUUGUUUUGGCUAUUGAGAAAAUUUUCUAGCCCUUAUAAUAUAUAUAUCUCCAUAUUAUUGGAUGUGUUACUUUUUAUUAAAUUACAUUGCCUAAGGUUGCUUAUUGCGAUUAUGGUAAUUUGCUGCAUCAUCCCCUGACUAAUUCUUCUCAUUUUUAGUGUUAGCAUUCUUCUGCUUAAAAUCUGGGUCUCAUGUUGCUUUUUGAGCAUCACUAUACCAUUCUCCUCUUUAACCCACCGAAAAAUCUAGUAGGAGCUUUUGCUUCCGAUUCUGGAGAAGUUUCCUCCCUCAAAAGUACCCUAUCGGCUUCAGGAGAUGCUGCCUCAUCAAAAGUGUAAUAGCCCGAAUUUGGGCCUAGUCGAAACAGUAGUUUCGGGACCACAAAUGUAAUAUUUCAAAAAUUUCUAUAGUAAGAUAUUAUCCUUGGUAUAGUAAAAUAAGGAAAUAAAGUAAAAAAAAAGGGGGAAAUUUUGAGUUAUGUCAACAUUGAGAAGUAUGACAUAUUAAUGCAAUAAAGGAUUAAAUCGCAAAAGUGAGAAAAGUAUUGAGGGAUUAAAGUGUAAAUAUGAAAAAGUUGAAGGACCAAAGGUCUAAAUAUUUUAAGGGUGGAAUGAUCUAGAAACUAAGGAAAAUGGAUGAAUUAGGACCAAAUUGAAUAAGAUAAGAAUUAUGAGGGACUAAAUCGUAAUUUUACCAAAUUAAGUGUGACUCAAUGAUGGAAUUUUAAAAGAUUAUGAAGGGCAAAAUGGUCAAUUAGAAGAGAGAGAAAUCUAGAAGGCAAUGAUGAUGUUGGUGAUAUUUUAGAUUAAUUAAUUAAAUAAAUAUUAGUUCAUUAAUAUUUUAAUAUGAUUUUUAAAUGAUAUUUUAUUAAUUUAUUAUUAUUCUAUUUAGUAUAUAUAUGAAAGGAAAGAUGAGGAAUUAUCAUCUUCUUCCCCAUGCAACCAACGUAUGAAGAGGAAAGAAAGAAAGAAACUUUCUUUUCUUUACAAUUUGGUCCUUUUAUAAAAAAUUCACCAUUUUCGCUUAGAAAUUAAAAGAAUUUCCAUAUCCAUCAAGAGAGAAAGAUAACAAGGAGACUAUGGGGAGCUAGAAUAUCAAGUUAGAUUCAAGAAAUAGAAGCUGGAGGAGGGAGAAAAUCAAGUUAAAGAUUGAAAUCAAUUGAGCAAGGUAAGAAUAUCAAGAUUUCAAUAUAUUUUUGAGUUUGAUAUUAUUGAAAAGGCAUGAAAUUGAUGUUAAUGUAGAGUUUUAUUAUAUAAGGUUUUAUGUUCUUGGUAUGUUAGUGAAGAGAAAAUAAGAGAAAGUGAUGAGAAAUAGUGUAGAGAAAGAAAAUAAGAGUGUUAUAAACUUAGUAAUCAAUAUUUUACACUAAAACAGUUUGGACAGCAGCAGUAGGUUAACUUUGAAAAAUCCCCAAAAAUUGUGGGAAUUGAAUUAGAAGAUGAAUAAAAUAUGAAAUUAAAGCUUAUUGAGUCUAGUUUCUCAUAAAAGAAAUGGUGUAAGCAAUAGAAUUUUAAAUCAUGAUAUAUAAUAAAUUUUGUGAGACAAUAUCAGAAUGAUUUUGGGUUCCCCUGUUCUAACUUUGGAAAAUCAUAAAAAAUUGAAGAAAAAUAAUUAUGAGUUAUAAUUUAUAUGAUUAGAAUCCUUAAUAAAUCUAUUUUCAAAUUAAAUAAACAUAAAAAUCAUCCAAAUUCUGUACAAUUAGAUAAUUCAUUUUUAGUGAAGAGUGGUCGGAACUGUCAGAUAGAAAAAUAGGGGAAACUUUAAAGAAUAAACUGUACUAUUUGGAUGAACCAAAAAUUCUGAAAAUUUUAUGGCAAUAAGAUAUAUGAGUCUAGUUUCAGGGAAAAUUAAUGGAUCUUAAUUUGGAUUUCUAUAGCUCAAGAUAUAAAUGAUUUAGUAACUAUGACUCAAAUGGACAGCUUUGAAUAAAUUUACAAGAAAAUAGUGAAAUUAUAGAUAAUGUUACUUAUAAGCAUGUUAUGUAAAUUAAGGAUGUGGAAUGGAGAGUGUACAAGCCCAAUUUUUGACCCAGGGCCCAAUAACAAAUUUUAACCUAAAAAAACUACCCAGGCCCAACUAGCCUAACCCAAUCAGCCCAAAACAUAAACACCUAGCAGAAACCCUAGCCCCCUGUUGUGCCGCACCUGCUCCUGGCCGCCUCACCUGCUCCGCCGUUCACCUGCUUUCUGCCAUUGCCCAACUGCCCACCUGCAAACGAGUAAAGAAAGCAGCAACAACAACAAUGAAAAGAGGAGAAAUGACAGUGGUGUAAAAAAAAAAUGGGUACACAAAUGGGUAUAUAAAAAAGGGCGGGGAUCACCGAAAGAGGGUCUUUUCCUUUUCUUUUGUAAUUUUUUCACAACACAACAGUUAAUGAAAAAAGGCAGAGAAAACAUUUAAAGGUGGAUUCAGACUUUUUAUUCUUUUUUUUGUUUGUUUUUAUGUUUGCUUGUUUAUAUAUAUAUACGAAUCUAUCUCAACAAAAACGAAAAUAAAAAAGAGAAAGAGAGAAACUCACCGGGGGGCUUUGAAAACCCGUCAUCGCGCUUCGCCGGCCGUCGAUCUGGUGGCCGUGCGGCGGAUGUGCGAACGGUGGCAGCUAAGGAGGGCUUUUAAAAAAAACCCUAACAGAGAAAAAGCUAGAGGCUUUUUUGUUUUUUUUUAUCUGCUAUUACAAAGUGUAUUUUUUAGGGGAAAUUUUAAUUUAAAUAGGAUCAGCUAAACGGCGCCGUUUUGGGUGGGAAAACCCCCGCGCGCGACCCGACCCGCGUCUCAGGAUCCACGUGUUUUGAUGAUUGGGUUAUUUACCCAUUUGGCCCUUCCGCCCUUUUGGGGUGUUUCAAUCUAGUCCUAUUUACAUUUUUAGAUUUUAUAAUUUUCGCCCAAAUUAUUUUUAGCGUUUUUGAUUUAGUCUUGCACUCAUAGAAUGGACACGUGUCCUAAUAAUUGGGAUAUUUUCCGUUUUGGCCCUCCGUCCUUUCGCGCGAGUCACAUUUUGGUCCUUUUCGUCCUUUUUAUUCCAAAUUCGCCCGGUAUUUCCUUUUUUUAUUUUAUUUCGAUUUAGCCCUUUUUUAGUCGCUUUAUUAUUUUGUUUAUUUUAUUAUUAUUAUUAUUAUUAUUAUUAUUUACUAUUAUUAUCUUUACUAUUAUUGUUAGUAUUAUUACUACUAUUAUUAUUACUAUCAUUAUAUUUACACCUAUAUUUACUUAUAUAAAUCUUAGAUAAUAGGUGAUAUAUUAUAUUAUUAUAAAAUUGCGUAUAUACGUACAUGUAUAUGUAUUCUUUUAACUAAUUUUAUAUAUACAUACAAAAUCAUAUUUUCGUAUAUUUUUUAAUUUGUAUAUACAUAUACUUAUAUCUAUAUUUUCUAAUUUUUAUAAAUAUAUUUAUAUGUACAUACUUAUAUUUUUUAUAUACUUUCUAAUUCGUAUAUACCUAUUUACAUCUAUAUUUUUAAUAUAUUUUAAACAUAUAUAUAAAUAUCACUAUUUACUUUUUUAUUUUUAUUUUUUAUUAUUAUUUUCAAAUUUUGAUGUAUACUUACAUAUAUAUAUCUUUACAUUUUUAUAAUUUUAUUCAUUUAUUUAUUUACAUUUUCAUUAUUAUUUUGAACGAAUGCUUUAAUUUUAUUUGCUUGUAUACAUUGCUAUUUCGUAUGUUAUUGGUCUGUACCUUUUAUUUUUCUUAUUUUCGUUGCUAUUACUUGCAUUGUUUUUACAUCAUCGUAUUCAUAUUUAUUUAGUUACGCAUAUUAACAUCGUAUCUUAUUUUUACUGUUUCGUGAAAAAAAUAUUUCAUUCAAUGUAUGAAUUAUAACUUUUUGAGUAAACAAAAUUUCGUGUUUAGAUUUGAGAAAGUCGUACCCUAACUUACUGGGUUUCGACUUUCACAACAAAUCUAAAGACACGAAUCUUUUUAAACUCAAAUUUUAAAUGAUCUCGGGAUUAAAAAUCGCGUCCUAACUUACUGGUCGUGAUCUCAUUUUCAAAUCCGAGAUGGCUAAACCUAUCUUUUAAAUAAGCAUUUUUAUUCGCGUAUCGAGAACUCGAGACGUUGUAUCCUAACUCACUGGAUAUGAUGUCUUUUCUCGAUUAACGUGAAAUAUGCCACUUUUUCCAAGAUUUUCAACUUUUUAAUACAAAGAUCAUAUUUUUAAAAUUCUUUUAAAUUAUCAAUUUUCGACAUUAAGACAUUAAGUAAUCAACUAGGUACCAAUUUUGGGCGUAUCGAGGGUGCUAAUCCUUCCUCGUGCGUAACCGACUCCCGAACCCGUUUUCUAAAUUUCGUGGACCAAAACCGUUGUUUUAAUAAAAUCAAACCGUUUAUUAAAAACAACCCCUCUUCGAGGUGAUCCAAUCGCACCUCAUAAAAAAAAGAGGAUUGGUGGCGACUCCCGUUUCUUUUUUCAAAACCCAAGUCAACCCCGUUUUUCAUCCAAAAAAUGGUGUCAACAGCUUGGCGACUCCACUGGGGACACAGAUAAGAGGGUCAAGCCACGUGGUGAUUACUUUUUGUCUUUUGUCAAAAAUUGAAAAUUCGGUUUAAAAUUACGAUCCUUUCAUCGCAUUUUAUCUGUCUUUAUCAUAAUCAUCACCAUUAGGGUUUAUAUUUGCUCUGUUUGUUUAAAUUUUGGUAUCUUUCCGCAUUUCAUUGCAUGACCGUUGGUCACACCUUUAAGUGGGAGUGAGAAGCUACGCCUUCGUGAGGUUUUCACCUCCGCAUGGGAUAGUGAAUCGCUUUCGGGAUAUAUCCGUACCUAUGUCUUCGUGAGAUUUUCAUCUCCGCAUGGCCAUAGAGAAAUGUAUCCCCCUGAAUCGAACUUGGUCCGUAUGAGCCUAUAAUGGGUGAGGAUCGAGGAAUUUGCUGGUUCAGGUACCCUACUUUAGAACCAAACCACAUGUAAUGAGCCAUAGGAACCGACCUAGGUAGAGCUACUCCAAAUUUUUAGUGCUUACCUAAAUGAAUGUUGUAUUUAUUUGUCGCUUAUUUUAAAUCUUAUUCUGUGUUUAAUGUUAAUUUACUUUGUUUGUGAUUGCAUGGCAUCUUCAUUCUAAAAGAGGUGUCGAUUUACGUUCAGUUUCUUGGUAGAAAGCUUAUCAUGGAAAAGGGGUUUGUUGAUAAAGUAGAGGAUAAUGCGGCUGUGCAAAUAUGGGCUGAAACGACACAACGAGAGAAAGGCGAUAGUCUUACCGAAGGGUACGUGUCAGAAUUGUGGGAUUUUACCCGUAUCAGUGUAAUCCAGAAUGACCUUCGAGAAAUGAAAGAAGUCUGGGAUCAAUGGGAUGUCGAGGCCAAGCAGCUGUUCUAUUGUAACUACGGUGACCUACCUUAUCUGCUUAGUGUCAAAGUGGACAAGUAUUUAUUCCGAGCCCUUGCUCAGUUUUGGAAUCCUGCCUACAGUUGUUUCACUUUUGGGAAGGUAGAUUUGACGCCUACUGUGGAGGAGUAUACGACCUUGCUUCGGUGUCCAAAGAUUCAAGUCGACAAGGCUUAUUCCAAAGCUGCUUGUGUCCCUCCGUUGUUAAAGAAAUUAAUGAACAUCACUGGGAUGAGCGAGCAGUGGGUCGCUGUCCGGAUCCAACAGAAGAGCGACAGUAAAUGUGUUCCUUGGAAAAGUUUGCGAGAUUUGGUGCUUGUACAUCCUGACUUAAAGAAAAGGGUCGAUAUCUUCGCUUUAGGUAUCUAUGGACUAGUGGUUUUCCCCAAAGCUUUAGGACACAUAGACGAGGCUGUAUCUGAUUUGUUUGAUCGGCUUAGUAAAGGGGUUACACCGGUUCCGGCAAUACUCGCUGAAACUUUUAGAUCCUUGAAUGCGUGUCGAAAAGCAGGGGAGGGAAGGUUUAUUGGAUGCGCACAGCUCUUAUUGGCAUGGUUCCAUAGCCACUUCUGGAAAGUCGAAAAGGUCUCUUAUCGGGUAUUCUCCGAUAGCUACUCCCCUCUAGGAGAAUUGGUGGCCACGCCAAGACGGGAUGAUAUUUCAGAAGAAAAAUGGAUAGAGAUACUCCAGAAUCUCCAAGAUGAAGAUAUUGAAUGGAGGGCUCCUUGGUUAAUUCCUGAUGAGAUAUUGUACCGAUGUGGAGAUUUUGACUGGGUUCCGCUGCUCGGGAUAUGGGGAGCUAUCGGAUAUGCUCCUCUACUCGUAUCAAAACAGUAUAGAUCACGACAAUUCAUACCAGCAACCCAGGGGUUAGCUUAUAGUGAUUUUUCCUAUAGGGAGGACAAUUACAAGAAGAAGGUUCGAGAAAUAUCUAGUGCCUGGAACCAGACUCGUCGAAUGAAGAUCUUAGCCGUGGGUCCGACAAUUACCCCCGAGUAUGGUCAGUGGCGUGAUCAAAGGAUCAACGACAACAUCCCGGCGUCAAAUCCAGAAACUGCUCGAUCUUUGGAGGAACACUUACAAGUUUUGCCUUCUGAGAUAGAAAUCAUCAAACAAGAAUUCGAAAAAAGGAGUUUAGAAUUGGGGAAGAAGAUAGAACAACUAGAGGAAGAAAAAAUGCAGUUAGGACUGGAUGUGGACAUUCAAAGAUUAGAGGCCAACAAAUUGAGAAAAGGAAAGAACAAAGCAGAAGAAGAUUUGGACAGCCUGAAGACAGAUUACAAGAAGUUGCGUAGGUCGGUAAGAGCUGCUGGCUUGGGUAAAACGCCAGAACAAUGGCGACAAGAAAUUCAGGAGGAAAAGACGAAAGCUAAUCAAUGGGAAAAGAAAUUUCAGGAUACUCGGGCUCGAGAGGUCGCCUUGGGAAAGAGUCUACUAGUUUGCCAAGACGAGAAGACGGAGUUGAAGGUCCGGAUAACCGAACUAGAAAGAUCGCUUCACCAGUACUGUAAUCGUAAUGCUACGGUUGAAUUAAGGGCGAGCUUAGACAAAAUUGAAUAAUUAAAAAGACAAAUAGGAGGGCUAGAGAACGCAUUGCAAAAUAGUGAAAUCCGGAUAGAGCUUCUGGAAGAAAGUAAUGAGCAGUGGCAAAGACAAUUCCGUCGGUCUCAAGAGCAGAUUGGAGAAAGAGAUUAUAUUAUGGGAGAGGCGGUGAGUCAAGUGCGCGAAGUAGCUGAUCAUCUGUAAACUCUAGCGGUUCAGGCUGAUCUAUUAAGUUUGAAGUAUGAGUCAGAGUCGGACAGGGGCCGAGAAUUAGCUUGACUUCUUAGAAAGGUUAAGGCUUUGAGUGUGAGGGCAAAGCCAUAUAUGUAGUCUAUUUUAUGUAAAAAAACUCUUUAUCUAGUAAAGUUUUCUAAUGAAGUUGAAUUAGAAUCAGUGCCUCUUUUUCUUUGCAUCCUUUUCAUGCAUUGCAUCACAUCACAUGCAUUAAUGACCAUUAAAAACCUAAUCGAAUAAAAUCAUUUCAGUUAACCUGGAAAACCAACAAAGUUACGGCACCCGAGCUAAGACAAAAAUUAUGGACCAAAGGUUGGAGAAGCUAGAGCGACUUCAAAGAGAAAUGCAAGACCAGUUGCAGGCGCAAAUGAAAGAGCAAAUAGAAAAGAUUCAGCGUGACAUGGUGCAAAAGAUGGAGGAGUCCCAAAAUGAUCUGGUGGCUAAGAUGACGCAACUAUUGAAGGGAGUAGAUAAGGGUAAAGGUCCUGUGAUUGUUAGUGAAGAAGAAAACAAUGGUGAACCACUUUAUCCUCCAGGUUUCACGCCUCCGCAUGCGCAAGUACAGACUGAGCUGCAUCCGCGGAGACCCUCUGUGUCGGUUAGGCCCCAGCAGUUCCAAGGCGAUGCUUCAAUCCCAAUGAAUUUUCAACCCGGAGCGGGCCUUAAUCCCGGUGAUAGCCCGAAUAAUAUUGCUGUCCCAGAUCUUGACGAGAUGGUUGAAAAGGAUAAGGCGAAGGAGGAAUUUCCAAAACAAUUUGAGGAGAAAUGGAAAUGGAUAGAAGAGAAGUUUAGGGCAAUAGAAAGCAUCGAAAGCUAUGGAAUAGAUGCAAAGGAUCUAAGCUUGGUUCCGGACUUGGUGCUCCCUUACAAAUUUAAGAUGCCGGAAUUUGAGAAAUACAACGGGACUAGUUGCCCAGGAUCCCAUAUUACUAUGUUUUGUAGAAGAAUGACGGGGCAUAUUAAUAAUGAUCAAUUAUUAAUACAUUGCUUUCAGGAAAGUCUUACGGGAGCGGCGUCAAAGUGGUACAAUCAGCUGAGCCGAGCUAAAAUUGCUACUUGGAGGGAUUUAGCACAGGCUUUCCUGAGACAAUACAAUCAUGUCUCAGAAAUGAUGCCUGACAGGAUAACUCUGCAAAAUUUAGAGAAGAAAUCGAACGAAAGCUUCAGACAAUAUGCGCAGAGGUGGCGAGAGGUGGCAGUUCAGGUGCAACCACCGCUUUUGGAAAAAAAGAUGACGACGCUUUUUAUUAAUACUUUGAAAGCCCCGUUCAUCACUCACAUGUUGGGAAGCGCUUCAAAAAAUUUCUCGGAUAUAAUCAUGAAUGGUGAAAUGAUUGAGCAUGCCAUUAAAAGUGGAAAAAUAGAUGGAGGAGAAAAUAAUAGGAGGGCACCCUUGAGGAAAAGAUAAAAUGAAGUGAAUAAUGUGAAUGCUUAUGGUAGGUCAAUUACCGUGAAUCAACCAAAGAAAGUGGUUGCUAAUCAACAGGGAUCAUCAAGACAAGAGUCGGGAGCUAGGUAAACUACUGAAAAGCCCCAAUUCACGCCAAUCCCGAUGUCAUACAAAGAGUUGUAUCAGACUUUAUUCGAUGCACAUGUUGUUGCUCCUCGUUACUUGAGUCCUCUACAACCCCCGUAUCCAAAAUGGUAUGAUAUGAACGCGCAAUGUGAUUAUCAUGUGGGAAUUUCUGGGCACUCGAUAGAAAAUUGUACUGCCUUCAAGAAGGUAGUAGAAGGACUUAUCAAUUUAGGUGUCGUCAAACUUGACGACUCACCUAAUGCAAAGAAUCCGUUACCUAAUCACGCAGAUAAGGGGGUGAAUAUGGUUAGCGAAGAUACGGGAGAAGAAGUCAAGACUGACAUUGCUGAAGUAAAAACUCCAUUGAAACGGGUCUGGAAAGAAAUGGCGAAAAGAGGUUUGGUUAUUUCAGAUUCUGAGGAAGGGCAUGAGAUGGGAAAUUAUUGUGAAUUUCACCAUAAAACAGGGCACGAAAUCCAAGAAUGUGAAGGAUUUAAGGCUUUGGUUCAAAGCAUGAUGGAUAACAAGGAAAUGAGGUUUUACGAAGAUGCGAAAGAAAUGAGGAGCAUAUGCGCGACAGAGUUGGGAACAAAGGCUCCAAAAAUAAAUCAUCCUGUGGUCAUUAUCUCACGCCCUAAGGGUAAUGAGGUUAGGGCUCAGGUAACACCGAAAAUUGUAAUCCAGAAACCAUCAAAUUUCUCUUAUAGGGAUAACAAAAUGGUGCCGUGGAAUUACGGGUGUAAUGUGACCAUUUUGGGAAAAGAAGCAGAAAGAAAUCAGGAAAUAGGUUCUUACACGCGUAAUGGAAAAAGAUGUGACGCUCAAGCAGAGUCGUCCAGGGAAGAGAAUUGGAAGAAAGAACAGAGGAAAGGGAAAGCAGUAGAAGUUGAACCAUUGGUAAAUGAACCAAUAAAAGAAGAGGAGGCAAAGGAGUUUUUGAAGUUUUUAAAACACAGUGAAUACAAUGUUGUGGAGCAACUGCACAAACAGCCAGCCCGCAUUUCUGUAUUAGCUUUACUCUUAAACUCAGAAGUACAUCGGAAUGCACUAUUAAAGGUGCUAAACGAAACAUAUGUGGCUGACGAUAUUUCGGUAAACAAGCUGGAUCGACUGAUCAACAAUAUUGGUGCUGACAAUUUUAUCUUCUUCAGUGAUGAUGAAAUACCAUCCGGAGGAAGAGGUUCUACUAAAGCCCUGCAUGUUACUGUCCGAUGCAAAGGGUACACACUCCCGGGGGCCUUGGUUGAUAAUGGAUCUGCACUAAAUGUAUUGCCUUUGUCCACUCUUAGUCGAUUACCAAUAGACAGUUCGCACAUGAAAGCAUGCCAGAGCAUAGUAAGGGCAUUUGAUGGAACAAAAAAGGAGGUUAUGGGGAGAAUUGAGGUACCAUUAAGGAUUGGCCCAGUCACUUAUGAGGUGGAUUUCUUGGUAAUGGAUAUUAAACCCUCCUACAACUGUCUAUUGGGGAGACCGUGGAUACACUCAGCAGGGGCAGUACCUUCAUCAUUACAUCAGAAGGUGAAGUUGGUAUCGGAGGAUCGGUUGGUAACAAUAGAUGCAGAGGAGGAUAUUAUCGCAAUGAUGACUAGCGAUGCACCUUAUGUGGACAUCAACGAUGAGACACUAGAAUGUUCUUUUCGGUCGUUAGAAUUUGUGAACGCGAUGUUUAUUGCGGAGGGAAAUAGAAUUCCAGUACCGAAAAUAUCCAGGACCACUGAGAUGGGAUUGCGAUUGAUGGUAGGAAGAUGAGCCUUACCCGGGAAAGGAUUGGGAAAAUAUCUUCAGGGAAGGAUUGAGGCACCAAUGCCGAAGGAAAAGUUUGAUAGAUUUGGUUUAAGGUACAAGCCAGACAUGAAGCAGAAGAAGAAAGAAGUAGAGAAGAGACAAGAGAGAAGAAGGGCGCGUUUGAAUGGACAUGAAGCUAAGUGUGAGCCUUUAACCUUUCCCCACAUAUCUACAUCUUUUGUGUCGGGAGGAUUUAUUCAUUCUGAAUGUGGAGUGUCCGGUAGCGGCAUGGGAGGAAUGUUGGAAAACGUUUAUACUAACGCCAUAGAAGCAACGGAAAGGAGGGCUUUGUUGGAGAUCUGCCCUUAUGAGCCUGGAAGCGAGCUAAACAAUUGGACUGCUGAAGAAAUCCCUGUAGUCUUUAGGGCUUAUUCAGAGUAAUGCUCAAAACAUUCCUGUUGUUUGUUGGCCUAGAAACGAUAUGAAAUCUUUUGUGAAAUAGGCAUUGGGCCUAAAUAUCAUUAUUUUAAUGAAAUACGUGUCUACGUUCAUCUCGAUCAGUCACUUUUUUCUUUUAUAUUUUUCAUUUGGUUGAUUGUCUUACAAAUAAUUCUUUCAUUUAUAAUUCUUUUGCACAAACAUAUUCAUAAAUUUAUAUUCUUAGUAUAUUCUUUGAUCUGCCCUCAUAGGUCUUCAGAUAUCAAUGACAUGAGUGACGCUGCCUCAAACGCGGAGCCUAUUUUUGAGCAAGAAGUGUGUUCAGAGGGAUCCCACGACUUUGAAAAUGACGAAGAUUAUGAUGCAUCUCCGGACUUGUUAAGAAUGAUGGAACAAGAGGAUAAGCAUAUCCUACCUCAUAGGGAAUCGUUAGAAAUAGUGAGCCUAGAGGAUGGAAAUGAGGUGAAAAUUGGAACUGAAAUCACCGCAAAGACAAGGCAAGACCUCAUUAAUUUGCUCCGAGAGUUCAAGGAUGUUUUCGCGUGGUCGUACCAAGAUAUGCCUGGGCUAAGUACUAACAUUGUGGUGCAUCGUCUGCCCAUAAAGGAGGAUUGUAAACCCGUUCAACAGAAGCUUAGGAGAAUGAGACCUGACAUUGUGUUGAAAAUAAGAGAAGAAGUCAAAAGACAAUUCGACGCUAGUUUCUUACAAGAGGUCAAGUAUUCGGAUUGGGUAGCCAACAUCGUCCCUGUUCCCAAAAAAGAUGGAAAGGUACGAAUGUGUGUGGAUUAUAGGGAUUUAAACAAGGCUAGUCCAAAGGACAACUUUCCACUGCCUCACAUUGAUACUUUGGUAGAUAACACGGCGGGCUAUUCAUUGUUUUCUUUCAUGGACGAUUUCUCUGGAUACAAUCAAAUAAAGAUGCAUCCUGGAGACAUGAGGAAAACCACAUUCAUUACCUUAUGGGGAACAUUCUGUUACAAGGUAAUGCCCUUCGGAUUGAAGAAUGCGGGAGCAACGUAUCAAAGAGCUAUGGUGACUUUGUUUCACGACAUGAUGCACAAGGAGAUCGAAGUCUAUGUUGACGAUAUGAUCGCGAAGUCUAGAACGGAAGAAGAGCAUGUUCAGGUCUUGAAAAGGUUAUUUUUGAGAUUAAAGAAAUUUCAGCUCAAGCUUAACCCGGCCAAAUGCACGUUUGGAGCCAGAUCAGGGAAGUUAUUAGGCUUCAUAGUUAGCAAAAAGGGGAUCGAGGUUGACCCAGACAAAGUAAAGGAAAUACGAGAUUUACCUCCCCCGCGCACUCAGAAGGAGGUUCGAGGUUUCCUAGGGAGGCUGAAUUACAUUGCUCGGUUCAUCUCACAACUGACAGAGAAAUGUGAUCCAGUAUUCCGGCUCUUAAAGAAACAUAAUCCGGGCGAAUGGAAUGAAGAGUGUCAGAGGGCUUUCGAUAAGAUAAAGCAGUACUUGGCUAAUACUCUAGUCUUAUCACCUCCAAGUCCAGAUAGGCUAUUGAUAUUGUAUCUAACAGUGUUGGAGAAUUCCAUGGGAUGCGUAUUGGGCCAACAUGAUGAGACGGGAAAGAAAGAAAGGGCAAUAUACUAUCUCGGUAAGAAAUUUACCGAUUGCGAAAUGAGGUACUCAUCAAUUGAGAAGUUGUGUUGUGCUCUAAUCUGGGCAACCCGAAGACUGAGGCAGUAUAUGUUGUAUCACACAACUUGGUUGAUUUCAAAGUUAGAUCCUUUAAAAUAUAUGAUGGAAUCGACUGCUUUGAACGGGAGAAUGGCUAGAUGGCAGAUCUUGCUCUCAGAAUUUGAUAUAGUAUAUGUCAGUCAGAAGGCCAUAAAGGGAAGUGCAAUAGCCGAUUUCCUAGCUAGUAGAGCCUUGGAGGACUAUGAAUCUUUGAACUUCGAUUUUCCAAACGAGGACUUGAUGUAUGUGGCGAAUACUGAAGAAAAUCCUCAAAUGGAUCACGUAUGGAAGUUAAAUUUUGAUGGAGCUUCAAAUGCUACGGGUAAUGGAGUUGGGGCAGUUUUGGUAUCCCCAAGUGGAGAUCAUUAUCCUGUUGCUAGCAAGUUGGACUUCGAUUGUACAAAUAACAUGGCAGAAUAUGAAGCAUGUAUUAUGGGCAUUCGUGCAGCCAUUGAACGGAACAUCAAAGUACUGAGAGUAUACGGGGAUUCAGCGUUGGUGAUAUACCAACUCAAAGGGGAGUGGGAGACUAGAGAUCCUAAGCUGAUCGGUUAUAGAAAACUAGUUCUUGAAUUGGCUGAGGAGUUUGACGAUAUCACCUUCUAUUACCUCCCACGGGAGGAAAACCAAAUGGCUGAUGCAUUAGCUACUCUAGCUUCGAUGAUUCAGGUGAAUAGACUUGAGGCAAUGAGGCCUGUUCAGAUGAGUAUCUCUGAGACCCCGGCUAAUUGCUGCAAUAUUGAGGAGGAGGGAAAAGAUGAUUGUCCUUGGUAUCGGAGUAUCUUACAAUAUGUGAAGAAUCGGGAAUACCCUGAUCAAGCGACAGAGAAUGACAAAAGAACUCUGAGAAAGAGCAGAUCGAAGACACUAUCCUAUCUCCCUGAAGUUACAGUGGAGCGGAUUAAAAUAAAGGAUCUUAUCUCUCUGAGGUUACAGCAGAGUAGAUCGCAUCAAGUCUUAUUUCCCUGAAGAUGCAGUGGAACAGACUGAAAACAAUAAGGCGUGUCUCCUUAAAGUUGUAGCGGAGCGGACAGAAGAUAGUGAUUCUUAUCAUGUCUAAUCUUAUUCCCCUAAAGUUGUAGUAGAAUAGAUGGAAGCGAAGUCACAAACCUUGUCUCUCUGAAGUUGCAGUAAAGCAGGUUGAAGUCACGAAUCUUAUCCCCCUGAAGUUGUAGUGGGGCAAGUUGAAGAUAUGAGUCCGAUCUCCCCGAAGUUGCAGUGGAGCGGGUCAAAAUGAUGGACCUUACCCCCUGAAGCUACAAUAGAGUGGAUUGAAGCUACAAGUUUUGUCUUUUGGAAGUUACAGUGGAGUGGGUCGACGCAACAAGACACAGUGGACUAGAAUAAAGUUACUUGAAAAGAAGCGUCAAGAGAAGUCAAUACUCGGCAAAGACUGGACAAAAAUUGGUCUUUCUUAGUCUUUGCUCUGUUAUCGUUACACGACAACGAGCAAAGAGGGGCAGCUGUACAAGCCCAAUUUUUGACCCAGGGCCCAAUAACAAAUUUUAACCUAAAAAAACUACCCAGGCCCAACUAGCCUAACCCAAUCAGCCCAAAACAUAAACACCUAGCAGAAACCCUAGCCCCCUGUUGUGCCGCACCUGCUCCUGGCCGCCUCACCUGCUCCGCCGUUCACCUGCUUUCUGCCAUUGCCCAACUGCCCACCUGCAAACGAGUAAAGAAAGCAGCAACAACAACAAUGAAAAGAGGAGAAAUGACAGUGGUGUAAAAAAAAAUGGGUACACAAAUGGGUAUAUAAAAAAGGGCGGGGAUCACCGAAAGAGGGUCUUUUCCUUUUCUUUUGUAAUUUUUUCACAACACAACAGUUAAUGAAAAAAGGCAGAGAAAACAUUUAAAGGUGGAUUCAGACUUUUUAUUCUUUUUUUUGUUUGUUUUUAUGUUUGCUUGUUUAUAUAUAUACGAAUCUAUCUCAACAAAAACGAAAAUAAAAAAGAGAAAGAGAGAAACUCACCGGGGGGCUUUGAAAACCCGUCAUCGCACUUCGCCGGCCGUCGAUCUGGUGGCCGUGCGGCGGAUGUGCGAACGGUGGCAGCUAAGGAGGGCUUUUAAAAAAAACCCUAACAGAGAAAAAGCUAGAGGCUUUUUUUUUUUAUCUUCUAUUACAAAGUGUAUUUUUUAGGGGAAAUUUUAAUUUAAAUAGGAUCAGCUAAACGGCGCCGUUUUGGGUGGGAAAACCCCCGCGCGCGACCCGACCCGCGUCUCAGGAUCCACGUGUUUUGAUGAUUGGGUUAUUUACCCAUUUGGCCCUUCCGCCCUUUUGGGGUGUUUCAAUCUAGUCCUAUUUACAUUUUUAGAUUUUAUAAUUUUCGCCCAAAUUAUUUUUAGCGUUUUUGAUUUAGUCUUGCACUCAUAGAAUGGACACGUGUCCUAAUAAUUGGGAUAUUUUCCGUUUUGGCCCUCCGUCCUUUCGCGCGAGUCACAUUUUGGUCCUUUUCGUCCUUUUUAUUCCAAAUUCGCCCGGUAUUUCCUUUUUUUAUUUUAUUUCGAUUUAGCCCUUUUUUAGUCGCUUUAUUAUUUUGUUUAUUUUAUUAUUAUUAUUAUUAUUAUUAUUAUUAUUUACUAUUAUUAUCUUUACUAUUAUUGUUAGUAUUAUUACUACUAUUAUUAUUACUAUCAUUAUAUUUACACCUAUAUUUACUUAUAUAAAUCUUAGAUAAUAGGUGAUAUAUUAUAUUAUUAUAAAAUUGCGUAUAUACGUACAUGUAUAUGUAUUCUUUUAACUUAUUUAAUAUAUACAUACAAAAUCAUAUUUUCGUAUAUUUUUUAAUUUGUAUAUACAUAUACUUAUAUCUAUAUUUUCUAAUUUUUAUAAAUAUAUUUAUAUGUACAUACUUAUAUUUUUUAUAUACUUUCUAAUUCGUAUAUACCUAUUUACAUCUAUAUUUUUAAUAUAUUUUAAACAUAUAUAUAAAUAUCACUAUUUACUUUUUUAUUUUUAUUUUUUAUUAUUAUUUUCAAAUUUUGAUGUAUACUUACAUAUAUAUAUCUUUACAUUUUUAUAAUUUUAUUCAUUUAUUUAUUUACAUUUUCAUUAUUAUUUUGAACGAAUGCUUUAAUUUUAUUUGCUUGUAUACAUUGCUAUUUCGUAUGUUAUUGGUCUGUACCUUUUAUUUUUCUUAUUUUCGUUGCUAUUACUUGCAUUGUUUUUACAUCAUCGUAUUCAUAUUUAUUUAGUUACGCAUAUUAACAUCGUAUCUUAUUUUUACUGUUUCGUGAAAAAAAUAUUUCAUUCAAUGUAUGAAUUAUAACUUUUUGAGUAAACAAAAUUUCGUGUUUAGAUUUGAGAAAGUCGUACCCUAACUUACUGGGUUUCGACUUUCACAACAAAUCUAAAGACACGAAUCUUUUUAAACUCAAAUUUUAAAUGAUCUCGGGAUUAAAAAUCGCGUCCUAACUUACUGGUCGUGAUCUCAUUUUCAAAUCCGAGAUGGCUAAACCUAUCUUUUAAAUAAGCAUUUUUAUUCGCGUAUCGAGAACUCGAGACGUUGUAUCCUAACUCACUGGAUAUGAUGUCUUUUCUCGAUUAACGUGAAAUAUGCCACUUUUUCCAAGAUUUUCAACUUUUUAAUACAAAGAUCAUAUUUUUAAAAUUCUUUUAAAUUCUCAAUUUUCGACAUUAAGACAUUAAGUAAUCAACUAGGUACCAAUUUUGGGCGUAUCGAGGGUGCUAAUCCUUCCUCGUGCGUAACCGACUCCCGAACCCGUUUUCUAAAUUUCGUGGACCAAAACCGUUGUUUUAAUAAAAUCAAACCGUUUAUUAAAAACAACCCCUCUUCGAGGUGAUCCAAUCGCACCUCAUAAAAAAAAAAGAGGAUUGGUGGCGACUCCCGUUUCUUUUUUCAAAACCCAAGUCAACCCCGUUUUUCAUCCAAAAAAUGGUGUCAACAGAGAGGAGGAGGAAAAUAAAUUUAUGAAUAUUAUGCUCGCAUGGAUUUGCAUUUCAAAUGGUUAAUUUGCAUGAUUUGGGCUCGAGGACUAAAUUGAAUAAAAGUAAAACUUUAGGGGUAAUUUUGGAAAAAUGUCAAAAAAUGACUAAAUUCCAUGAAAUGAAUUGUUUUAUUAUUUAAAUUACUAAAUUGAAUGAAAUAUUAAUUUAGAUCAAUAUUGGGUGGAAAUUCGUGAAAAAUAGAAAUUUUUUAAAAUGUCCCUGAAUUUUGGUAUUUCUGCAAUUUAGCCUGGUAAGUUCUUAUGAACUAUAUUUUGUAUAAUUUUAAUUGAAUUGAAUGCUAUUUGGUAAUGAAUAUUAUAUAUAUAUGUGUGUUUGGAAUUGAUUUAUUAUUGGAUGUUUUGAAAUGAUUAUCGGAAGCUCGAUUGGGUUGGAAGCUUGUUGGAGAUAUAUCACAUUGUCCAUUGGUUCUAUCGGAAAUUUUGGAUGAUUUGAUUCUGGUUAUUGUAUAAGUUAAAUUGGUUAAUGUUAGCUCAUAAAAGUUUUGAUUUUGAUUGGUUAUAAAUAUGAAUGCUUGAUGAAAUGAAAUGUCUGAAAAUUAAUUUGUAAACUCCGAUAAUGCUCUAUAACCCUAUUCUGGGGAAGGAUACGGGUUAGGGGUGUUACAAAAAGCCUUCUCCUCUUGCCCUAUUACGGAUUGGAUUGAGAGCACCAAAGCCAAUGAGAACACAACCAAAAAAAACUUUUGCCAUCCUUUUUAUUUUCUAAAAAGGUUAAGAAAUAAGUAAAGAUAUAUUUUUAUUGAUGCUUAAGGAUGAAGAUGAGACAAAAUUUAAAGAUUUUAAAAUGAGACAUUUUGGGCGAAUUUAGGGGUCGUUGACUAGUCCAGUGCCUAAUAGCCAUACACGACAAAAAUACAUAUAACUUCUCUCCACAUUUUCAAUGGUGAUGUUUAUCACUAUUAUUGGUGGGUUCAAUUUACUUCACUUUGUUUCACUUGAAGACAUUGUGGGUGAUCAUUAAUGUGUUUUAAAAUCAUUCUGACCUUCCCUGUUUGCAUCAUCUGCACCAAUAAAAAACACUCCUUCUCCUUUUAUAGGUCAAUUUUUUUCAUGAAGCAACUUUAAACGUUACUAAUUUGUGGACCAAAAUCUAAAUAGCUUUCUUCUUCUAUAAUGAAGAUUGACUGUUAAAAAGAAUGUUCUUCUACUUGUCUAUAGGUAUCGAUCAUAGCACUGAUUGCCAAAUCAUUGCUUAGAGCUUGCUACCUAGACUUUUCAAAAAAAAAAGUCAAAUGACUAGGCCCGUUCUUGACAUUUUUGAGACCCUAGGCGGAACAAUAAAUUGGGGCCCCUUUUAAAAAAAUUAAAAAAUGUUAUGCAACAAAUAAAAAAAAUUGAGGCCAUUUUUUGAUCCCGUAAGAGCUUCUACUUUUGAUUCUGGAGAAGCUGCCACCCUUGAACUCAACAGUACCCUGUCAGCUUCCAAAGAUGCUGCCUCAUCAAAAGCCUUCUCCUCUUGUCCUACUACAAAUUGGAUUGAGAGCACCAAAGCCAUUGAGAACACAACCAAAAAAACCUUCACAAUCUUUUUUAUUUUCUAAAAUGGUUAAGAAAAAAAAAGUAAACAUAUAUUUUUAUUUAUGCUUAAGGUUGAAAAUGAGACGAAAUUUAAAGAGUUUAAAAUGAGAUAUUUUGGGCGAAUUUAGGGGUGGUUGACUAGUCUAGUGCCUAAUAACCAUACAUGACAAAAAUACAUAUAACUUUUCUCCACAUUUUCAAUGGUCAUGUUUGUCACAAUUUUUGGUGGUUUAAAUUUACUUCUUUUUGUUUCACUCGAAUACGUCGUGGGUGAUCGUUUAAAUUUUUUUAUUUUAUAAUUUUCACAUAUUUUUUUCAUUUAUUUAAAAUUUCAACCAAACAAAUUUUCUCAAUUUUUUUUCUACUUUUAGGAAAACAAAAAGAAAAAGAAAUCUUUAAUUUCUGAAACUAAAUAUACCCUAAACCUUUGCCUCCGACUCAUAAGAUAUUAAGAAUAAGGUAAUUAUUUGGUACACACGAAAUGUAAGUUUUUUAUUCCACAUAUGAAGUUGGGAUUUUGCCUCUUAUCAUAUAUAUAUUUAAUUUUUUGAAUAUAAAUUAAAUAAUAAAUAAUAAAAUCUCAACUAUAUUUAUGAAAUAAAAACCUUUCACCGUCACACCGAACAUUUCCCCUCGUGAUAUCACAAUAGUCUUUGUAAUCAUACUGACAAUCAUAAUGACAAAAGAAAGAAAAAGCUACGGGAUAUGAUAUUCACUACCCUCCAGUUAUGAGACUAUACAUAAUAUCGAUUGGAAGAAAUCGAAUUCAUAAAAAAUCCUACAAACUUAAUAGGUGUUUUUUUCAAGUAAGAAUAAUAAAUUUAGGGUCGAAAUUAAAUAGUAAUUUUUAUGAUAGUAAAAAUAUAAAUUUUAAAAGAUUAAAUCAAAAUUUUAUCAUUUUUAAAAAGUUAAAGUGCAACUUUCCUUUUACUAAUUUAAAAUUUUAAAAAUUUCUAAAAAGUCUAAAAGUAAAUGAUAAUAGAAUAAUUCUAAAAUCUGUCAUAUGCGCCAACUUGAGUUCUUGCGUCAAAUAUUUCGUGCUAUUUGCAUAUCCGCUCAUUUCUCGACACAUUGCAUAAUAAUUAUAAUUACUUAGAACAUGAUUAAAUGCCAAAUUAGAUAAAAUCCAUGUCAAAAAAUAAUCAAAAUAAAUAAUAAAAAUAUAUCGAUUAGCUGCAUUAUCAAUGUGUAAACCUAAUUUAAUGUCAAACUUAAAAGUUAAAAAUUUUCUUAUAUAUAAUGGUCAAACUAAAUUAUUGUUAAAUAUUAUAAAUAUUGAUAAUUAAUAAUAGUGUCCACACAUGAUUUUAAUAUUAAUGGUCAUAAUGUGUCAAACAAUUAAAAUAUUGACUUGUAAGAUUGUUUCCUUAAAUAUUGUAUAUAUUCGAGUUUUGCUAUUGUUGGGAGAAAAAAGUGAAAGGGUCUCGGCUCUCAGUAGUGUUGUGGAACUAAACUUUAAAUGUGGCUAAUUGUCUUGCAAGUCUUCCUUAUUUAUUAUUUUCUUUUUAUUCUCCUUCAACUGACUACAUUGUGUUUAAACAAACCCUUAAUCUAUUUUUGUAGUUAAAUAAGCCCUUAACUUGAUUUUUACUCAUAAAAUCCAUUUAUUUUAAUAUUAAAUUAAAUAUGUUUUACCCAUAUUAAAGGGCUUUUUAGUAUUUUAGCCCUGCUAGACUGUAUGUUGUAGAACCUGACACCUACAUUGCAGAAAUUGUUUGAUUAUUUUCAAUGCAUAAGAACCAAUGAAAACAUAGAUGGAAGGCUAAUAUACUAAAAGGUGCUUAAUCUAUUACACUUUGUUUAAACAAGCUUUUAUACUGUUUUUGUAGUUAAAUAGGCCCUCAAACUAUGAUUUUUACCCAUGAAAGUCCUAAAUUUUAAUAUUAAAGUAAUACUAUUUAAAAAAUAUAUAAAUUAAUUCGCAUUCUAUGUUGAUAUGAAUUUGAUGAGAAUAGUUUAUUAAAAAAAAUAAAAAUUUAAAAUUUGUUGAGAGUGCUUAUAUACAUGACAUGCUUAAUUACUAUUUUGAAAUUGCUGAUUACUUUUUUAGAUUUUAUGUUUCUGUUAAAGUGUAUAUAAUUUUUAUUGCAUCAACAAGAAAUUAAGAUGAGAGCUUGAAAUUCAAAAUAUAUUUACUUUAAUAUUAAAAUAAAAGACUUUUAUGUGUAAAACCCAUAGGUUAAGAGCUUAGUUAACUACAAAAAAAAGUUAAGGGCUUGUUUAAACACAAUAUAAUGAGUUGAAGGGGAAUAAAAAGAAAAAAUAUAUAACGAUGGUUUACAAGGCAAUUAGCCACAUUUAAGCGGCUCCCUUUCACUUCUUUUUCCAAUAGUCACUUAAAAUGGAAAUUUGCACUUCAAAUCCCUAAAUACUUUAAAUUAUUACAUCUCCGUUUGAUACCACUUGACACUAACAAAACAGUACAGUAAAAAACAUACCAUUUUGAUGUAUAUAUAUAUUCGGUUUUGUUAUUGUUUUUAACAUCGGCUUUUAAUUUAUCACAAUUUUUGGAUAAUUUAAAAAAAAUAAUAAUUAUAUUUUAAUUUAACAUAUAGAAAUUAAUGAGUCCUUGCAAAGCAAGAAUGUGUGUGACAGCGUGAUGAAUUUUUUCCCACACAAAAUCCAAAAGGAAUUAGGAAUCUUCAAAUUCGUCGGCCCAAACGUCACCCUUUUUCAGUGCUUCUCAUCAUUUAUAAAAACACUUCGAUUUCCUUUCUUUACUCCAAAUCCGACGUUCGUAAAAAAAGACCAGGUGAACUACCUACGCGCCGCCGUCACCACCAUGUCACAGCCUCAUUUCCUCCUAGUGACCUUCCCUGCACAAGGCCACAUAAACCCAACCUUACAAUUUGCCAAGCAUCUUAUACGUAUUGGCGUACGUGUAACUUUCAUCACCUGCAUCUCCGCUCGCCGCCGCAUGAGCAAAGUCCCCACUGCUCAAGGCCUAACGUUUUUACCCUUUUCCGAUGGCUACGACGACGGUUUUCAACCCGGCGAUGACAUAGACCAUUACCUAUCUGAAUUCAGGCGACGAGGCAAAGAAGCCAUCUCCGAGUUUAUAACAAGCAGUGAAAACGAAGGCAAACCCGUCACUUGCAUUGUCUACACCCUGUUCAUCCAUUGGGCCUCGGAGGUGGCGCGUAAACAUCACAUCCCGACAGCUUUACUUUGGAUUCAACCCGCCACCGUUUUCGACAUCUAUUAUUUUUACUUCAACGGAUACGAAACUACCUUUAAAGCUCAAGCUGAUGAAACAAACCCCCAGCGUUCAAUAAAAUUACCAGGUCUGCCGCUACUCGCCACCCGCGACCUUCCGUCGUUCCUAACCGCUUUAAACGUUUACCGUUGGGCACUGUCGUUAAUCCAAGAAAAAAUGGACGUCCUCGCUGAUGAAUCCAACCCCAAAAUCCUUGUUAACACAUUCGAUGCUUUGGAACACGAAGCAUUAAACGCCAUUGAAAAUUUCAACAUGGUCGGCAUCGGACCUUUAAUCCCAUUUUCUUUCUUGAACUCAAAUGACUCCUUGGAUAAUUCCUUGAGAACCGAUCUUUUUCAAUCCGAUUCAAAAGAUUACCUCCAAUGGUUAGACUCGAAACCAAAAUCGGCCGUCGUUUACGUUUCCUUCGGGAGCAUUGCGGUGUUAACGAAGCAACAAGUGGAGGAAAUCGCUCGAGCUUUAAUAUCCAGCCGGCGACCGUUUUUAUGGGUGGUGAGGAACCGGAAAGAUGGAGGCUACGAAGAGAAAGAAGAAGAUAAACUGACUUGCAGGGAAGAAUUGGAACAGUUUGGGAUGGUGGUUCCAUGGUGUUCGCAAGUGGAAGUACUGUUUCAUCCAUCCUUGGGUUGCUUCGUGACGCAUUGUGGGUGGAACUCGACGUUGGAGAGCAUGGUGGCCGGUGUACCAGUGGUGGCUUUCCCUCAAUGGACGGAUCAAAGGACUAAUGCGAAGCUGAUUGAAGAUGUGUGGGGGAAUGGGGUAAGAGUGAGUGCUAAUGAAGAAGGGAUCGUGGAACGGGAUGAGAUCGUUAGGUGCUUGGAUUUGGUGAUGGGGGAUGAUGAGAAAGGGAUGGAAGUGAAGAAAAAUGUAGAGAAAUGGAAAGGGUUAGCCACUGGAGCCGCCAUGGAAGGCGGCUCCAUGGAUAUGAACCUUAAAGCUUUUGUGGAUGAUAUUGCUGAAGGUUGUCGUAAGUAAAAUUAUCACUUUCAAAUCAAUUCAAUGUUUCAAUUCAAUUACCUGUAAUGUACUAUGCGUGCAAUUAUAGAUUUAAUAUAUAUUCUUUAAUUGAAUCAUUUUAAGUCACUAUUUUUUUCGAAUUCUAAAAUUUCCAUCUCGACACAAAUGAUAGUCACUAAUCCAUUAACUAAAAUUUCAAUAAGUAAUAUGUGAAAAUCGCAAACUGAAAUGCUAUUACACAUAUCAUAAUAUGUUUUGUUGCAUUAAAUUUUGAAAAUAACAGAAUUUAAUGAAUUUAACAAUUAUCGUUUAGUAAAGACUGAAAUUUUAAAAUUUUAAAAGUAAUAGAAUUAAAAAUAACCCAAUUAAAGUAUAAAUAUUAAAUCUACAAUUUUUAUAAAGUAAGACCAAUAAUAAAAUUUAAUAUUGUUUUUUUCUUGAAAGAAAUUGGAAGUGACCAUUAAGUACAAUAUGUGAUAGGGAUGGGAGAAUAUGAAUGGUGUGAUAGAUUUUGAAUGUAGGAAACAAACUUUUUUGAAAUGUGGUUGUAAGAUGGAGUGGGUUGGAUUUUUGUGUGUGUGGUCAAUGUGUAAUUCUUUGCCUUUAUAAAAGUAUCAUUUUAUCCAUUUAAUAUGUAUAACUAUUUAAAUAUGUAGAAAUGUGAAAAUGUAUUAUAGAAAAGCCUUUAUUUUUAAUUAAUGAGCUCUAACCGAUGAUUUAACAAUCAUAUGGUGGAUUAGUACUCAUCGACGAGUAGAGGAAAUCGCUUGAGCUUUAUUAUCCAGCUGACAACCGUUUUUAUGGGUGGUGAGGAACUGGAAAGAUGGAGGCUACGAAGAGAAAGAAGAAGAUAAACUGACUUGCAGGGAAGAAUUGGAACAGUUUGGGGUGGUGCUUCCAUGGUGUUUGCCAGUGGAAGUAUUGUCUCAUCGUCGUUGGAUUGCUUCGUGACACAUUGUGGGUGAAACUCGACGUUGGAAAGCAUGGUGGCCAUUGUACCAGUGGUGGCUUUCCCUCAAUGGACGGAUCAAGGGACUAAUGCGAAGCUGAUUGAAGAUGUGGGGGGAAUGGGGUGAGAGUGAGUGCUAAUGAAGAAGGGAUCAUGAAACGUGAUGAGAUUGUUAGGUGCUUGGGUUUGGUGAUGGGGGAUGAGGAGAAAGGGAUGCAAGUGAAGAAGAAUGUUGUGAAAUGGAAAGGGUUAGCGGAGAGGCCGCCAUGGAAGGUGGUUCCUUGGAUAUCAACCUUAAAGUUUUUGUGGAUGAUGUUGCUCAAGGUUGUUGCAAGUAAAUUUAUCUUUUCAUAUAAUUAUCUCCAUUUAUAUUUCGAAUUCUUAAAUCAAGAAAUAAUAUUUUUAAAAACGAUCAAAUUCCUCUUAACUGUUGUAAUAAUAAUAAUAAUAAUAUCAAAUUAAUGAUCUAAAAUUCGAUGGAAUGUUACAAAUAAAUUUCUAAUUUAUGUUUGUAUUAAAUUUAUGCUUAAAUUAAUUUUGGCCUAUGGUGUAAGUUUUUUUUAAAAAAAUUUUAAUGGCCAAAUUUAAUUAAUAACAUCAACAAUUGAAUUUUAAAUUUUAAGUCAAACUAAGAGACUAAAAUUUAAAAAUUAAAAGUAGUGGAUUAAAUUUUUAAAAAAAUUGCAAAAGAGUACAAGAAUUGGAGGUAUACUUAAAAAAAAUAUUAAAAUUUUCUUUUCUCCUCCAAUAAUAGAAUCUAAAGCUACGCACCUUUAUAAAAAUUAAAAAAAGAAUUAAUUGUCCAAGAUAAAUAUUAAAUAAUAAUAUUUAUGGACUUGAGUACAUGAAAUUUAUUGUUGGUCAUUUAAUUUAUCAUUUAACAAUUACUUUUGUUUUGGCUAUUGAGAAAAUUUUCUAGCCCUUAUAAUGUGUAUAUAUAUAUCUCCAUAUUAUUGGAUGUGUUUCUUUUUAUUAAAUUACAUAGCCUAAGGUUGCUUAUUGCGAUUAUGGUAAUUUGCUGCACCAUCCCCUGACUAAUUCUUCUCAUUUUUAGUGUUAGCAUUCUCCUACUUAAAAUCAGGGUCUCAUGUUGCUUUUUGAGCGUCAUUAUACCAUUCUCCUCUUUAACCCGCCGAAAAAUUCUGCUUUCGAUUCUGGAGAAGCUGCCACCCUUGAAGUCAAAAGUACCCUGUCAGCUUCCAAAGAUGCUGCCUCAUCAAAAGCCUUCUCCUCUUGUCCUACUACAAAUUGGAUUGAGAGCACCAAAGCCAUUGAGAACACAACCAAAAAAACCUUCACAAUCUUUUUUUAUUUUCUAAAAUGGUUAAGAAAAAAAAGUAAACAUAUAUUUUUAUUUAUGCUUAAGGUUGAAAAUGAGACGAAAUUUAAAGAGUUUAAAAUGAGAUAUUUUGGGCGAAUUUAGGGGUGGUUGACUAGUCUAGUGCCUAAUAACCAUACACGACAAAAAUACAUAUAACUGUUCUCCACAUUUUCAAUGGUCAUGUUUGUCACAAUUUUUGGUGGUUUAAAUUUACUUCUUUUUGUUUCACUCGAAUACGUUGUGGGUGAUCGUUUAAAUUUUUUUAUUUUAUAAUUUUCACAUAUUUUUUUCAUUUAUUUAAAAUUUCAACCAAACAAAUUUUCUCAAUUUUUUUUUCUACUUUUAGGAAAACAAAAAGAAAAAGAAAUCUUUAAUUUCUGAACCUAAAUAUACCCUAAACCUUUGCCUCCGACUCAUAAGAUAUUAAGAAUAAGGUAAUUAUUUGGUACACACCAAAUGUAAAUUUUUUAUUAAGUUGGGAUUUUGCCUCUUAUCAUAUAUAUAUAUAUAUAAUAUAAUUUUUUGAAUAUAAAUUAAAGAAGAAAUAAUAAAAUCUCAACUUGAUUUAUGAAAUAAAAGCCUUUCACCGUCCUACCGAACGAACAUUUCCCCUCGUUGUAUCACAAUAAUCAUUGUAAUCAUAAUGACAAUCAUAAUGACAAAAGAAAGAAAAAGCUGUGGGGUAUGAUAUUCACUACCCUCCAAUUAUGAGACUUAUAAUAGAGGGGAAUUAAGAAAAAAAAUUUUAGAGUCGAAAUUAAAUAGUAAUUUUUAUGGUAGUAAAAAUAUAAAUUUUAAAGGAUUAAAUUAAAAUUUUAUUGUUAAAAAAAAAGUUAAAGUGCAACUUUUCUUUUACUAAUUUAAAAUUUUAAAAUUUUUUAAAAAGUCUAAAAAAUAAAUGAUAAUAGAAUAAUUCUAAAAUCUUUGUCAUAUGCGCCAACUUGAGUUUUUGCGUCAAAUAUUUCGUGCUAUUUGUAUAUCCGCUCAUUUCUUGACACAUUACAUAAUAAUUAUAACUACUUAUAACAUGAUUAAAUUCCACGUUCUUAAAAGUAGAUUAACUACCUACGCGCCGCCGUCACCACAAAAUAUUUUAUAUUCGGUUUUGCAAUUGCUUUUAACUUCGGUCACAAACAAAAUUUUUUACUUACACAAACAAAAUUUUUUACUUAGUUAUUAAUAAUAAAAGUGGAUUAUUUUAUUAAAAAAUAAUUUAUAUUUUAUUUACGUUGUAUAAUAAUUAUAUCUACAUAAAAAAUAAUCGAUUAAAUUUCAAAUUACGUAAAAUUUAUUUCCAAAAUUAAUUAAUAUAAUUCAUAAAAAUACUUCGUAUUAUCAAUGUGUCAACUUAGUUUAAUGUCAAACUUAAAAAAAUGUAUAAUGUGAACAUGGCUAAAAAUUUUCUUUUUUAGAUAAAACCUUAAAAUAAUAUUUUACGGAUUUUUACUUAUAUAAUAUAAAAAAUUGAAAUUAAUAACUAAAAUAGCAUGCCCAUGAGAUUAUUUACCAAAAUGGUAUGUUUACUAUGGUGUUUUACUGGUGCCUCUUGUCAAAUUAGCAGUACCAAACUGAAAUGUAAUGAUCUAAAGUAUUUAGGGAUCGCAAAUUUUUCAUUUUGAGUGGUUGUUGGAGACAAAAGUGAAAUGGUGUCGAAUGUCAGUAGUGUUGUGGAACUAGACCUUAAAUGUGGCUAAUUUGCUUGCAAGCCCUCAUUAUUUGUUAUUUUCUUUUUAUUCCCUUUCAACUCACUACAUUGAGUUUAAACAAACCCUUAACUUAUUUUUGUAGUUAAAUAAGUCCUUAACUUGAUUUUUACUCAUAAAAUCCCUUUAUUUUAAUAUUAAAGUAAAUAUGUUAUACCCAUAUUAAAGGGCUUUUUAGUAUUUUAGCCCUGCUAGACUAUAUGUUGUUGAACCUGACACUUACAUUGCAGAAAUUGUUUGAUUAUUUUCAAUGCAUAAGAACCAAUGAAAACAUAGAUGGAAUGCUAAUAUACUAAAAAAUGUUUAAACAAGCUUUUAUACUGUUUUUGUAGUUAAAUAGGCCCUCAAAUUAUGAUUUUUACCCAUAAAAGUCCUAAAUUUUAAUAUUAAAGUAAAACUAUUUAAAAAAUAUAUAAACUAAUUCGUAUUUUAUGUUGAUAUGAAUUUGAUGAGAAUAGUUUAUUAAAUAAAAAAUAAAAAAUUAAAAUUUGUUUAGAGUGCUUAUAUACAUGACAUGCUUAAUUACUAUUCUGAAAUUUCUGAUUACUUUUUUAGAUUUUAUGUUUAUGUUAAAUUGUAUAUAAUUUUUAUUGCAUCAACAAGAAAUUAAGAUAAGAGCUUGAAAUUCAAAAUAUAUUUACUUUAAUAUUAAAAUAAAGAGCUUUUAUGAGUAAAACCUAUUGGUUAAGAGCUUAUUUAACUACAAAAAAAAGUUAAGGGCUUGUUUAAAUACGAUAUAAUGAGUUGAAGGGGAAUAAAAAGAAAAUAAUAUAUAAUGAUGGUUUACAAGGCAAUUAGCCACAUUUAAGCAGCACCAUUUCACUUCUUUUUCCGGUAGUCACUUAAAAUGGGAAUUUGCACUUCAAAUCCCUAAAUACUUUAAAUUAUUACAUUUCAGUCUGAUACCACCUGACACCAACAAAACAGUACAAUAACAGACAUACCAUUUUGAUGUAUAUAUAUUCGGUUUUGCUAUUGUUUUUAACUUCGGCUUUUAAUUUGUCACAAAAUUUUUGGAUAAUUUUUUUAAAAAAUUAAUUAUAUUUUAAUUUAACAUAUAGAAAUUAAUGAGUCCCUACAACAAGAAUGUGUGUGAUGACAACGUGAUGACUGUUUCUCCACGAAUUAGGAAUCUUCAAAUUCGUCAGGCCAAACGUCACCCUUUCAGUGCUUCUCAUCAUUUAUAAAAACACUUCGAUUUCCUUUCUUAGUUACUCCAAAUCCGAUGUUAGUAAAAAAAGACCAGGUGAACUACCUACGCGCCGCCGUCACCACCAUGUCACAGCCUCAUUUCCUCCUAGUGACCUUCCCUGCACAAGGCCACAUAAACCCAACCUUACAAUUUUCCAAGCAUCUUAUACGUAUUGGCGUACGUGUAACUUUCAUCACCUGCAUCUCCGCUCGCCGCCGCAUGAGCAAAGUCCACACUGCUCAAGGCCUAACGUUUUUACCCUUUUCCCAUGGCUACAACGACGGUUUUCAACCCGGCGAUGACAUAGACCAUUACCUAUCUGAAUUCAGGCGACGAGGCAAAGAAGCCAUCUCCGAGUUUAUAACAAGCAGUGAAAACGAAGGCAAACCCGUCACUUGCAUUGUCUACACCCUGUUCAUCCAUUGGGCCUCGGAGGUGGCGCAUAAACAUCACAUCCCGACAGCUUUACUUUGGAUUCAACCCGCCACCGUUUUCGACAUCUAUUAUUUUUACUUCAACGGAUACGAAACUAC
RNAcentral lists this long non-coding RNA (31838 nucleotides) under Gossypium barbadense (sea-island cotton). RNAcentral describes it as "long non-coding RNA (GBAR_LNC013876)". The record is from RNAcentral. Lineage: Eukaryota; Viridiplantae; Streptophyta; Magnoliopsida; Malvales; Malvaceae.